AGUGCUGUGUAUGCAGCCAUAUAGUGAAUGCCUUCAUUUGCACCCUGAACUCUGAAUAGUCACUUUUAAAACAUCCAUCUGUCAUCCAUCUAGUGAGGUCAGGAGAGUGGCUGCUUAACUUCUGGGGGUUGCAGAAAAGGAAGAAGAAUCAGCAGAGAGCAUUUGUGGCCAGCAAAGCUUAAAAUAUUUCCUAACCGAUCCUUUGCAAAAAAAGUUCACCCACUCCUGUAGUCAGCAGCUCCCCUACUGUGCGCAGUCAGUGUGCCAUCUCAGACUAGCAAAGAUUUGUGCUUGGAUCAUCUACACUUCCCUGAAUGUUGAAGAAGAUAUGCUAUCCAUGCAAUCCUUGUCGACUGCUUGAUUAAAAAGUGGAUAAACUGUCUUCAGGCCCUUGGAGUAUGGUGUCUGUGUGAAGAAGGGAAUGAGGCAGAAGUAGCAGUCAGUGGUGGCUGAAGUAGGAGAAAGUGCUUGCUAAUGAAAUCUUGAUUUUUCUGUGGCUUUUCUGUGCAAUUGGGUGGCUAAGUAGGAAAGCCAUUGGAGCUUCACUGUAUCAAUUCUGCCUUUCUUGUUUUUUGGAACUCCAAUUCACCAAGGCUCCCUGCCACCCUAUCCAUCUAUAACUUUUCAUCACUUUUUCCUCAAAGUAAGAAGUGUGUCCCAGAAAAUGUGCCUUUGUGACUCAGCAACAUUUCAAAUCCAUCUGAGCCUUCCCAGCGUUCCAAAAGAAAUACUGAUUUGAAUUCAGCUGCUUAAAAAACCAGUCUCUAAGCAGACAGCUUGAAACUUCCUUACAGCAAUAGUUUAGGCUUUGGAGGGGAAAUUGGUUUGUUUUUAAUUGUUUUAAUUUUUCAUUCAAUUCAUUUGCCGCCUGAUUAUAUAUGAUCUUUUGAGCCCAAUACUCUGCUAAAUUAACCUUGACUUUCUUUCUCUCUUUCUCUCUCUCUCCUUCUCUCUUUCUUCCUUUCUUUCUUUCUUUUUGACAGAGCCUUGCUCUGUCGCCCAGGCUGGAAUGCAGUGGCACAAUCUCAGCUCACUGUAAACUCCGCCUCCAAAGUUCAAGCAAUUCUCCUGCCUCAGCCUCCUGUGUAGCUGGGAUUACACACGCCAGCCACCAUGCCUGGCUAAUUUUUGUAUUUUUAGUAAAGAUGGAGUUUCACCCUCUUGGCCAAGCUGGUCUCGAACUCCUGACCUCAACCUUGGCCUCUCAAAGUGCUGGGAUUACAAGCAUGAGCCACCAUGCCUGGCCUUACCUUGAUUUUUUUUUUUUGAGACAGAGUCUCACUCUGUUGCUCAGGCUGGAGUGUAGUGGCUCGAUCUUGGCUCACUGCAACCUCCAUCUCCCGGGUUCAAGAGAUUCUCCUGCCUCAGCCUCCCAAGUAGCUGGGACUACAGGUGUGGGCCACCACGCCUAGCUAAUUUUUUAUAUGUUUACUAGAGACAGGGUUUCACCAUGUUGGGCAGGCUGGUCUUGAACUCCUGACCUCAGGUGAUUCACCUGCCUCGGCCUCCCAAAAUGCUGGGAUUACAGGUGUGAGCCACCACACCCGGCCCCUACCUUUGAUUUUUAAGUCAAGAGGGAACAAGUCGAAAUUUCUAUUCAGGUAAACUGUAUACCUUUGGACACUGAAUCACUUUUAGAACCCCAGUAAAAAUCAUGUAUGAAUGACCCACAAUUUCACUCCAACAGGAAGGUGUGUAUAUGUGCACAAAAACAUUAGAUUGUUCACACCGGUGCUAUUCAUAAUAGUCAAAAACUGGAAACAACUCAAACAUCCAUCAACUGUAGAAUGGAUAAAUAAAUCAUGAUAUAUUCAUACCAUGGAACAUAACAGUGACAAUAAAUGAACCACUGCUACACACAACAGAUAUGAAUUUCACAAACAGAAUGCUGAGCAACAGAAGCCAAACACAGAAGGAUACACAUUUAUAAAUCCAUUUGUAUGAAGUUCAUAAACAGACAAAAUUAGUCAGUGGAGAUUAUUCUCAUAGAAGUCUGAAGGGUAGUUGUCUUUAGGGAGGGGGAUAUAGUGACUGAGGUGGGUAUAAGGGGUUUCUGGGGUUUGGUGAUGGUACACCAGCAUAUUCACUCUGAAAACUCAUUGAGCUGUGCAAUAAUGAUUUUUCAAACUUUUAUAUGUGUAUGAUAAUGCUUCAAUAAAGCUUUGCUUAAAAACACGCAUAGUCAUUGCUAUGGUGUGAAUGUUUGUGUGCCCCCGUUCACCAAAUUCAUAGGUUGAAAUCCUAACCCCCAAGGUGAUGAUAUUAGGAGU
This 2270-nucleotide long non-coding RNA is filed under the name Homo sapiens (human). Its description in RNAcentral is "HSALNT0310064". Lineage: Eukaryota; Metazoa; Chordata; Mammalia; Primates; Hominidae. The record is from RNAcentral.